This is a long non-coding RNA of Anguilla anguilla (European eel), 503 nucleotides long. RefSeq lists it as uncharacterized. The transcript is spliced from 3 exons. The record is from RefSeq and is a predicted model, not a curated record. NCBI's taxonomy places the organism in Eukaryota, Metazoa, Chordata, Actinopteri, Anguilliformes, Anguillidae.
UCUGUGCCACCCGUCGCCGGGAAUUAGCCGCGAGUGGAUGGGAAACAUUUCGAUUCAUUUAUCAUCAGAAUUCGAAGAGCAAUUCAUUACUCCGUUUAUUUUAAUAUUUCAACUCAAACCGACUUUGAAGUUAGAAAGAGAUUCCCAGAUGCCCUUACCUCGCCUUUCGCUGAGCCUCCGUCAUUGCCGACCACUCCUCACUUGAUGGCUUCUCGCUUGCUCACUGACAGGGACACAAAACAGAGCCGUAACCCAGCUCUAAGCCCCCUCCUCUUCUUCUCUUAAAGGGCCACCCGCGCUUCAGUCCAUCCGUCACAAAGUCUUCGCGGCCGCCAGGAGUCAGAGAACAACUUUUACCGGGGUUGUGCAUGCAGGCUGUAGUCACCCAGUUGGCCAGAAGGGGUCACUGGUGAGCACCGAGACGCUCCUAGAACGGGGGCUCACAGCUGGGUCCAGCAGCCUGGCUCAAACCUGAAAGGGCAGAGAGGAGGAGAGAAGAGGAG